RNAcentral lists this ribosomal RNA (437 nucleotides) under uncultured Clostridium sp. RNAcentral describes it as "partial 16S ribosomal RNA". It matches the Rfam family "Bacterial small subunit ribosomal RNA", at positions 341 to 792 of the family's 1533-position model. The record is from RNAcentral. Lineage: Bacteria; Bacillati; Bacillota; Clostridia; Eubacteriales; Clostridiaceae.
ACGGGAGGCAGCAGUGGGGAAUAUUGGGCAAUGGGCGCAAGCCUGACCCAGCAACGCCGCGUGAAGGAAGAAGGCUUUCGGGUUGUAAACUUCUUUUACCAGGGACGGAGAAAAUGACGGUACCUGGAGAAUAAGCCACGGCUAACUACGUGCCAGCAGCCGCGGUAAUACGUAGGUGGCAAGCGUUGUCCGGACUUACUGGGUGUAAAGGGCGCGUAGGCGGGAUGACAAGUCAGGUGUGAAAUCUAUGGGCUUAACCCAUAAACUGCACUUGAAACUGCCAUUCUUGAGUGUCGGAGAGGUAGAUGGAAUUCCUAGUGUAGCGGUGAAAUGCGUAGAUAUUAGGAGGAACACCAGUGGCGAAGGCGAUCUACUGGACGAUAACUGACGCUGAGGCGCGAAAGCGUGGGGAGCAAACAGGAUUAGAUACCCUGGUA